AAGAAAUAUAGAUUAAUACCGGCGACAACUUUAGGGGCGCCUUCAAAAUUGUCGCCAGUAAAACCCUAUCCGUGUCCAACUUUUUAGAAUUACUCCCUGACCAUUGAUUUGAAAGCAAUCCGACGGUCCAGCUUUUAUCAUCCCUUAAAGUGAAUAAAACCCUUGGCGGGCAGCCAUUCUCCCAUUUCCCCCCCAAAUCGUUCCGCCUGCCUCCCCCAAACCCCACGAAGCCACCACCACUAGAACAAUCUGCAGUUAACCAGCCACCACCACCCUCCGGAUACAGCUCGCCAACACCAGAACCUGCACUCACCUCCUCGGUGCUCCACAGCCGCUGCUGCACCUACAGGUGUGGAUUGUGUGCAAUUGUAGGUAUACGGUGGUUGGCUUGAGGUAUCACCGUCAAAUAUUUGGUGGAGGCUGAAGUGGCAGUCGAGUGAGAGGAGGGAUUACGUCGCUUAACCUGGUUACAUGGCUUGACACUUGAGCUUUAAUGGUUGACAUGGAUCUGCUAUCUCAGAUAGUAGAACCUAAGUUAAUUGGAUUAAAGUUUGCAGCCAACGUGGGGGAGUGAUGGUGAGAUCCGCCGUUUAUGAAAGUGGGUUUGUUCCGAAUUUAUCAAAUGCGAGAGGAUUUGGUGAUUUGCUAGGAAGUCAAAUGCGAGACAUAUGAAAAGAUCUUUCCUUUCAAGAACAUUUGUGCUAGCAGAAAGGUAAUCUAUAUCAGGGUACACUCAACGGAAGAUGGGGCAUGGCUGGGUCUGAAUGAAGAGAGGCCAGAAACUACCAUCUUCCGACAAGUUAAGCCGCG
RNAcentral lists this long non-coding RNA (810 nucleotides) under Helianthus annuus (common sunflower). RNAcentral describes it as "hypothetical non coding rna". The record is from RNAcentral. Lineage: Eukaryota; Viridiplantae; Streptophyta; Magnoliopsida; Asterales; Asteraceae.